ACAAGACUAUUCGCCAGAGAACUACUAGCCAUUGCUUAAAACUCAAAGGACUCGGCGGUGCUUUAUACCCCUCUAGAGGAGCCUGUUCUAUAAUCGAUAAACCCCGCUUAACCUCACCACUCUUUGCAAUAUCAGCC
This 137-nucleotide ribosomal RNA is filed under the name Sciurus anomalus (Caucasian squirrel). Its description in RNAcentral is "partial small subunit ribosomal RNA". The record is from RNAcentral. Lineage: Eukaryota; Metazoa; Chordata; Mammalia; Rodentia; Sciuridae.